Nicotiana attenuata is the source of this 2738-nucleotide RNA transcript. It is a transcript of the gene named RNA-binding protein Musashi homolog 2-like, with no coding region annotated. The transcript has 5 exons. Lineage: Eukaryota; Viridiplantae; Streptophyta; Magnoliopsida; Solanales; Solanaceae. The record is from RefSeq and is a predicted model, not a curated record.
AAUCAGACCAAGAAAAACUUCAAAAACUCAAACCAUCUCCUCUCUUUUUCUUCCCCAUUACACCAAUUUUUCCAGUAAGUAUAUAUAAGGAAGGAAUUAAUUGGAGAACAAGCAAUUCAAAAGCCAAUCCUUCAGAUCAAAUCACACCAAAUUCUUCUCUCUUGUUUCUCUCUCAUUACCCCACAUACUCUCCUUCUUAACAAAAAACAUUUAAAAAAAUCUAAAACCAAACAAAAAAAAAAUUUAAAACUUUAUCAAAAUCAAAACUUUAAAAGCUUGAAAGUUGAAUCAAUCUCCUCUUAUAAACAUAUUGUCUACAAAAUUUUACAUUUUCUUGUUCUCAAUUUGGUCAAAUAAAAAAAAACAUAGUGGGAACACAAAAGUAAGAGGGUAAUAUAGAGGGGGCAUGUUGUACUGCCUCCUCUGUAGAUCUUGUUGAUUUUUUCAUUUGGGUGUUUUCAAAAGGCAGAAUCUUGAUUUGGGUAUUUCUUAUUUUUCUCAAAAGUUUUUUAAGUUUGAUGAAAUAUUUUCAUUGUUGGGUUGCUAUAUGCUUGAGCUCUUACCUUUGGAUUCUUGUUUGAUUGAUUUUUUAAGGAUCAGAUUCCUAUUUGAUUGAAUCUGAUAAUAUUUUGAUCAGUUUCAAAUUGUUGUCUGUUUGUGAGGCUCUCUUAAUACUACUUCAUAGUAAAGGAAAAUGCAAUCUGAGCUAGGCAAGUUAUUUGUUGGCGGGAUUUCAUGGGACACAGACGAAGAGCGUCUAAAGGAGUAUUUUAGUACUUAUGGGGAGGUUAUAGAAGCUGUAAUCAUGAAGGAUAGGACUACUGGCCGUGCUCGUGGUUUUGGUUUUGUGGUCUUUGCUGAUCCUGCUGUUGCUGAGAGGGUAGUUAAGGAGAAACACAACAUUGAUGGAAGGAUGGUUGAAGCAAAGAAGGCGGUUCCACGGGAUGACCAGAGCACAACAAGUAGAAGCAGUACUAGUAUUCAUGGUUCUCCUAGCCCUGGUCCGGGUCGUACAAGAAAGCUUUUUGUUGGAGGUUUGGCGUCCACUGUUACUGAGAGCGACUUUAAGAAGUAUUUUGAGCAGUUUGGAACAAUUACAGAUGCUGUAGUUAUGUAUGAUCAUAACACUCAAAGACCUAGAGGCUUUGGAUUCAUUACUUAUGAUUCAGAGGAUGCAGUAGAUAGAGUCUUGCUCAAGACUUUCCACGAGCUGAAUGAUAAAAUGGUUGAGGUCAAGCGUGCUGUCCCUAAAGAGUUAUCCCCAGGUCCUAGCCAAAGCCCGCUCGAUCGGUACGGCUAUGGAUUAAAUAGGAUGAAUAACUUCCUUGAUAGUAGAUUUAGUCCGAUUGCUGGAGGUAGGAGCGCCUUUACGCCAUUUGCUUCUGGUUAUGGUAUCGGUCUUAACUUUGAGCCAGGCCUGAACCCGGGAUACGGGGGAAGUGCAAACAUUAACAGUAGUUUAAGCUAUGGACGGGGACUGAAUCCAUAUUAUAGCUCAAACAGAUUUGGUGGUGGCACUGGGUUUGAUGGAGUUAAUGGAGGAAACACUUUGUCCUUAAGCUCAGCAACUCGCAAUUUAUGGGUCGAUGGAGGACUACGUAAUGCAACAAACUCCCCGAGCUCUAGAAAUUUUAUAGUAUCUGGAAGCGGGAACAUUGUAGGAGGAAACUUUAACAACAGUGGAGUUUGGGGUUCAUCUUCACUUUCCUCUCAAGGUGGAGGAAAUGUUAUUAGCAAAAAUGGAAAUCUUGGCUAUGGGAAUGGUGAUGACAUGUAUGGGCUGCCAGGAGGCUAUGGCGGACGUGUCAGAAAAAGUGUGGGUCCUAUAACAUCAUAUGCUGCAUCUAGUGUUGGUUAUGGUGUGGGGGAUUUAGCUGAUUUCUACGGUAGUGGUUUGGGAUAUGAUGAGCGCACUUGGCGUUCUGAGCAGGAUGCAACUGGUUCUCUUGGUUAUGGACUAGGCAAUGGACGCUCUGACAUGUCAUCUCAAAGUUCUGCAGAUUAUUUAGGUACUUAUGGAGUUAGCAAAAGACAACCAAACAGAGUUGCAAACAUGUGAGGUGGCUUCCAAGUCCGAAAUGUGGUCCACCUUAACCCCACCAACCUUGCUUACCUCGAAAAUGGUCAGGAAUUGGUGACUAGGAGAAAAUAUCAGAAACAAAGGGUGAUAUAGGAGGCGAAUUUUUUUGUACAAGUUGAAUCCUGAAUUUUGCAUAUUCCACAAUUACAUGAAGUUGAAAGGUUAAAGAAUCCGAGUUCCUUUUUACUUAAUCAAAAAAGAAAAAAAAAAGAAUUGGAGUCCCUUUUGUAGGGCACCCGAGUGCCUGUUUUCGGUCUAGAGAUAGUACUUUGCAAGAGACUGUUUAAAAGGAUUUUGUUUUGAGUUAUGUUUUAGAAAUUCCCUUUUGUCCCUCGAGUGAGGUGUAAAAUCGGAUUGCAGCUGCAGCGAUACAUACAAAGGAAAUAUACAAUUUUUUGCACAAAAUUUGUAUUCCAUGUUUUUGCUGCAACACAGCUGCAAAGUUGCAGAUUCUUGGCUGCUACUAUUAUUGUUUUAUAGUUUGUAGUUAACUUCAACAGGAUUUUCCUUUUCAUUUGAUUGUAGGUGAGGUUGAUUUAAUAUGAAAUAUGUAGGGAUACCCAUAUAGGGUAUCCAAAUGAACAAAUUUACAUAUUUAGAUUGCUUUACAUUUCUUGAUAUCUAUAUACUAAGUGGAAAAAAUUGUUGCACUGGGGAA